UCCACUUGCAAUUUAAUAAACUGCAGUUCAAAAUCCCUUUUCCACCUGCAAUUUAAUAAACUGCAGUUCAAAAUCCAUUUCCCUUUCCUGUUCGCUCCGGGAUUAGCUGCUGGAUUAGCUCCUGGAUUAGCUGCUGGAUUAGCUCUUCGAUUAACAACUUGCUGGAGGCUAUUCAAAUUAGCCACACCGUGGGAUGUAAGGAGCUCUCUGAUUGGUUGGUCAGACACAGGCUGUCUGCCAGCCUGGAUUUUUCUAGCUCAUAGCUUCUCCCUGCUAAGAAGCGUGUGUGCUUGUACAAAGGCCGUUCAGCCUCGGGAUUUACACUCGGCUCGACACGGAUAUGUGAAGAAUGAAGGGACCCUGCAGCGAAACGGAGAGCCCAACCUCUGACUGAGUACUUGUUUACGCAGUCUGACCACCUGUUGAAGGGCUAUUUGAUGACGAUAUGAACUCCUCUGGGAGAUGAGGACACACCCACAUCUGUUCCAUACUGCAGCCAUUGAUGGUGUUACAGCUCUGAGGCAGCUUUGGGCCAUCAGACGCACACACUGGAAAACCAGCACCUGGACUUCAUGCAGGAGAGACGGCCUCAGUGAUUUAGAAUUAAUCAGCAGCUGUGGAGAGAUGCAUUUGAAUAUCUUCUGGUUCCACUUUUCCUAACCUGGAAGCUGAGGAUGGCUGAUUUCUGACAGGGACACACACCUCAGCGCUUAUCA
Molecule: long non-coding RNA, 716 nt
Organism: Pelmatolapia mariae (spotted tilapia)
Lineage: Eukaryota; Metazoa; Chordata; Actinopteri; Cichliformes; Cichlidae
Exons: 3
Source: RefSeq, a predicted model, not a curated record